AGAGUUUGAUCCUGGCUCAGAACGAACGCUGGCGGCAGGCCUAACACAUGCAAGUCGAGCGCCCCCGCAAGGGGGAGCGGCGGACGGGUGAGUAACGCGUGGGAAUUUUCCUCAAGGUACGGAACAACUCAGGGAAACUUGGGCUAAUACCGCGUAAUCUCGAGAGAGUAAAGCUGCCCGCGAGGGUGGCGCUAAAGGAGGGGCCUGCGUCCGAUUAGCUAGUUGGUGGGGUAAAAGCCUACCAAGGCGAUGAUCGGUAACUGGUCUGAGAGGACGACCAGUCACACUGGGACUGAGACACGGCCCAGACUCCUACGGGAGGCAGCAGUGGGGAAUAUUGGACAAUGGGGGCAACCCUGAUCCAGCGAUGCCGCGUGGGUGAAGAAGGCCUUCGGGUUGUAAAGCCCUUUAGGUUGGGAAGAAGUUGUUUAGUUAAAUAGACUAGAUGAUUGACGGUACCGACAGAAUAAGCACCGGCAAACUCUGUGCCAGCAGCCGCGGUAAUACAGAGGGUGCGAGCGUUAAACGGAGUUACUGGGCGUAAAGGGCGCGUAGGCGGUUGAGAGAGUGUGAUGUGAAAGCCCUGGGCUUAACCUAGGAAGUGCAUUGCAAACGACUCAGCUGGAGUAUAAGAGAGGGUGGUGGAAUUUCCGGUGUAGCGGUGAAAUGCGUAGAGAUCGGAAGGAACGUCAAUGGCGAAGGCAGCCACCUGGCUUAAUACUGACGCUGAAGCGCGAAAGCGUGGGGAUCGAACAGGAUUAGAUACCCUGGUAGUCC
Molecule: ribosomal RNA, 777 nt
Filed under: uncultured bacterium
Lineage: Bacteria
Description: bacterial SSU rRNA
Rfam family: Bacterial small subunit ribosomal RNA
Source: RNAcentral